UACGUAGGGUGCGAGCGUUGUCCGGAAUUAUUGGGCGUAAAGAGCUCGUAGGCGGCUUGUCACGUCGGAUGUGAAAGCCCGGGGCUUAACCCCGGGUCUGCAUUCGAUACGGGCUAGCUAGAGUGUGGUAGGGGAGAUCGGAAUUCCUGGUGUAGCGGUGAAAUGCGCAGAUAUCAGGAGGAACACCGGUGGCGAAGGCGGAUCUCUGGGCCAUUACUGACGCUGAGGAGCGAAAGCGUGGGGAGCGAACAGG
RNAcentral lists this ribosomal RNA (253 nucleotides) under uncultured bacterium. Its description in RNAcentral is "partial 16S ribosomal RNA". It matches the Rfam family "Bacterial small subunit ribosomal RNA", at positions 524 to 776 of the family's 1533-position model. The record is from RNAcentral.